Molecule: transfer RNA, 68 nt
Filed under: Marmota monax (woodchuck)
Lineage: Eukaryota; Metazoa; Chordata; Mammalia; Rodentia; Sciuridae
Description: tRNA.Ser
Source: RNAcentral
GGAUUGUAGCUCAACGGUAGAGGGCUUGCCUAGAACGUGCAAGGCGCUGGGUUCGAUCCUCAGCACCA